GACGAACGCUGGCGGCGUGCCUAAUACACGCAAGUAGAACGCUGAAGAGAGGAGCUUACUCUUCUUGGAUGAGUUGCGAACGGGUGAGUAACGCGUAGGUAACCUGCCUUGUAGCGGGGGAUAACUAUUGGAAACGAUAGCUAAUACCGCAUAACAAUGGAUGACACAUGUCAUUUAUUUGAAAGGGGCAAUUGCUCCACUACAAGAUGGACCUGCGUUGUAUUAGCUAGUAGGUGAGGUAAUGGCUCACCUAGGCGACGAUACAUAGCCGACCUGAGAGGGUGAUCGGCCACACUGGGACUGAGACACGGCCCAGACUCCUACGGGAGGCAGCAGUAGGGAAUCUUCGGCAAUGGGGGCAACCCUGACCGAGCAACGCCGCGUGAGUGAAGAAGGUUUUCGGAUCGUAAAGCUCUGUUGUAAGUCAAGAACGGGUGUGAGAGUGGAAAGUUCACACUGUGACGGUAGCUUACCAGAAAGGGACGGCUAACUACGUG
This 497-nucleotide ribosomal RNA is filed under the name uncultured bacterium. RNAcentral's name for it is "partial 16S ribosomal RNA". It matches the Rfam family "Bacterial small subunit ribosomal RNA", at positions 28 to 507 of the family's 1533-position model. The record is from RNAcentral.